Molecule: RNA transcript, 1618 nt
Organism: Neltuma alba
Lineage: Eukaryota; Viridiplantae; Streptophyta; Magnoliopsida; Fabales; Fabaceae
Gene name: COMPASS-like H3K4 histone methylase component WDR5A
Exons: 3
Source: RefSeq, a predicted model, not a curated record
AAAGUUGCUUAUUGGAGCUCUGCUUCGGGACGGCUUGGUUGGUCUCUGGCCUGAAUCUUCAGUCAUUGCCAUUAAUAUUGAUGUUAGAUUCCUAAAACCUCUCAAAGCGCAAGUGUUCGAAACCUCGUUAAGAUCUUUCAAAUGUCGACGGACUCUACGGAGACGUUCAAGCCCUAUACUCUUUCGCAAACCCUAACUAGUCACAAGCGCGCCGUCUCCGCUGUUAAAUUCUCAUCGAACGGCCGUCUCCUUGCGUCCUCCUCCGCCGACAAGACCCUCCGAACUUAUGGCUUUACCAAAUCCGAUUCCGAUUCCGAAAGCCUCAUCCUCUCUCCUAUGCAGGAGUAUCAGGGCCACGACCAGGGCGUUUCCGACUUGGCCUUUUCUUCCGACUCUCGUUUUCUUGUCUCCGCCUCUGAUGACAAGACCCUUCGCUUGUGGGACGUUCCUACUGGCUCGCUCAUCAAAACCCUCCAUGGCCACACUAAUUACGUCUUCUGUGUCAACUUCAAUCCUCAAUCCAACGUCAUCGUUUCGGGUUCCUUCGACGAGACUGUUCGGGUUUGGGAUGUCAAGUCCGGAAAGUGCUUGAAGGUCCUUCCAGCUCACUCUGAUCCCGUUACUGCUGUGGAUUUCAAUCGGGACGGCUCCCUCAUUGUUUCCAGCAGCUAUGAUGGGCUCUGUCGGAUUUGGGAUGCCUCAACUGGCCAUUGCAUGAAGACUUUGAUCGAUGAUGAGAAUCCUCCUGUUUCCUUCGUCAGAUUUUCGCCCAAUGGAAAGUUUAUUCUUGUUGGGACAUUGGACAACACUCUGAGGCUGUGGAACUACUCAACUGGGAAGUUUCUGAAGACAUACACUGGCCAUGUUAAUUCAAAAUACUGCAUUUCCGCUGCCUUCUCUAUAACAAAUGGGAAGUAUGUUGUUGGUGGUUCUGAAGAUAACUCUAUAUACUUGUGGGAACUGCAAACGAGGAAAAUAGUUCAGAAAUUGGAAGGUCACUCCGAUGCUGUUAUAUCUGUGUCAUGUCACCCUACAGAGAACAUGAUUGCUUCGGGUGCUCUGGGCACUGAUAAAACCGUGAAGAUCUGGACUCAACAGAAAAACUGAGUUAUUUUGAAUUUCUUCUUGGUGAGGAGUCAUCUAUGGUUUUGUAGACUUGAAUUAGGAGGACAAAAUAACUUGGUCAUGAAACUUCUUGCUUAUUUUCUGUUAGAGGCCUUGGAUACAGGAAUUUUUAGCUUCACCAGCUGUAUGGAGGGACUGUUUUUUAGAAGAUAUCAACUUUUAAUGCCCCUUUAAACGUUAAGAACCAACCAGAGACUGCGAGCAGGUCGGCUUCUCUGUAGAGAAGCUGUUCAGAUUGAUGUGUGGAUGUGAGUGGUAUUUCAAGCUUGGGAUCGGCACUUUGUGGUGCAUUCGCCUUUAUCUGCGCAAAUUGUUAGUAUUGUGUAAGGUGCACAUUGUUUAAUCUAGUGUCGAAUACAUGGAUCGCCUGUGAUCCCAGUGAAAGGCAUUUUCUGAUAUUUAUGGUGUGCAAAAUAUAAAAUGAAGUUGAACUUGAAUAACUGAGGAUAAAUGAAAUUGCAGCAAUUAUAAUACUACUUCCGGUCCUUAAUAU